RNAcentral lists this ribosomal RNA (253 nucleotides) under uncultured bacterium. RNAcentral's name for it is "partial 16S ribosomal RNA". It matches the Rfam family "Bacterial small subunit ribosomal RNA", at positions 524 to 776 of the family's 1533-position model. The record is from RNAcentral.
UACGAAGGGGGCUAGCGUUGUUCGGAAUCACUGGGCGUAAAGCGCACGUAGGCGGAUCUUUAAGUCAGAGGUGAAAUCCCAAGGCUCAACCUUGGAACUGCCUUUGAUACUGGGGAUCUUGAGUCCGGGAGAGGUGAGUGGAACUGCGAGUGUAGAGGUGAAAUUCGUAGAUAUUCGCAAGAACACCAGUGGCGAAGGCGGCGCACUGGCCCGGUACUGACGCUGAGGUGCGAAAGCGUGGGGAGCAAACAGG